Long non-coding RNA from Solanum stenotomum, 558 nucleotides. RefSeq lists it as uncharacterized. The transcript is spliced from 2 exons. The record is from RefSeq and is a predicted model, not a curated record. Lineage: Eukaryota; Viridiplantae; Streptophyta; Magnoliopsida; Solanales; Solanaceae.
CCUUUAUAUGUGUUGUUAUUUUUUACUUUUUUAUUUUAUGAUGGUUUUGUUUGAGCGUGUUGUCGCGCUUAUCCUUUCAUACUAGUAAUUUGCAGUAUUACUCUUGUAGUUUCCUUGUCCAUCUUAUGGUUUAUUAUUUGUUGUUUCUUGUACUUUAUUUGUCGUAUUAUUUUGUCAAUUCUUGUCUUUCUGUUGGUUAUUACUUGUUGUUUCAUGUACUUUGUUCGUGUAUUAUUUUGAGGUAGUUACUAUUCUUUUUUUUUCUUUUUUUUUUUCAGAUUGUUUUUAGCAUAUAGUAGUAUUUUUGCUUCUUCACGUCCGUUAUUUCUUUUCCUAGACUGGUUUGUUUAGCUUUUCUUGAGGCGAGGAUCUAUCGAAAACAUCUUUUUCUAUCUCCUAAGAUAUUAGGAAUCCAGCAGAGCAGAUAGAUUCAAGAUCAUCCCGUGAUAUCUUAUGAGUCCAACAAGCAUUUAUCUGUCCAUCAAAUCCACAAUUUGACUGCAUCCCGGAUGCUGAUAUGCCUUUUACGUAUUCCUGGCACAGCCCAAAAAUAAGAGG